Molecule: ribosomal RNA, 403 nt
Filed under: uncultured bacterium
Lineage: Bacteria
Description: bacterial SSU rRNA
Rfam family: Bacterial small subunit ribosomal RNA
Source: RNAcentral
GCGCCGGCCAACUACGUGCCAGCAGCCGCGGUAAGACGUAGGGCGCGAGCGUUGUCCGGAUUUAUUGGGCGUAAAGAGCUCGUAGGCGGCUUGUCGCGUCGACCGUGAAAACUUGGGGCUCAACCCCAAGCCUGCGGUCGAUACGGGCAGGCUAGAGUUCGGUAGGGGAGACUGGAAUUCCUGGUGUAGCGGUGAAAUGCGCAGAUAUCAGGAGGAACACCGGUGGCGAAGGCGGGUCUCUGGGCCGAUACUGACGCUGAGGAGCGAAAGCGUGGGGAGCGAACAGGAUUAGAUACCCUGGUAGUCCACGCUGUAAACGUUGGGCGCUAGGUGUGGGGGGCCUCUCCGGUUCUCUGUGCCGCAGCUAACGCAUUAAGCGCCCCGCCUGGGGAGUACGGCCGCA